This 29-nucleotide small RNA is filed under the name Bombyx mori (domestic silkworm). RNAcentral describes it as "ovarian small RNA-16258". The record is from RNAcentral. Lineage: Eukaryota; Metazoa; Arthropoda; Insecta; Lepidoptera; Bombycidae.
GCAAGGCUCAUGUCAUCCAUUGUGCGCGC